Molecule: ribosomal RNA, 253 nt
Filed under: uncultured bacterium
Lineage: Bacteria
Description: partial 16S ribosomal RNA
Rfam family: Bacterial small subunit ribosomal RNA
Source: RNAcentral
UACGGAGGGGGCAAGCGUUAUCCGGAUUCACUGGGUUUAAAGGGUGCGUAGGCGGGCAGGUAAGUCCGUGGUGAAAUCUCUGAGCUUAACUCAGAAACUGCCAUGGAUACUAUUUGUCUUGAAUAUUGUGGAGGCAAGCGGAAUAUGUCAUGUAGCGGUGAAAUGCUUAGAUAUGACAUAGAACACCCAUUGCGAAGGCAGCUUGCUACGCAAUGAUUGACGCUGAGGCACGAAAGCGUGGGGAUCAAACAGG